ACUCAAAUGAAUUGACGGGGACCUGCACAAGCGGUGGAGCAUGUGGUUUAAUUCGACGGUAAGCGAGGAACCUUACCAAGGCUUGACAUAUACCUGCAUACUGGAGAAAUUCAGUAGCCUUCGAGGGUGGUAUACAGGUGCUGCACGGUUGUCGUCAGCUCGUGCCGUGAGGUGUUCACUUAAGUGUGAAAACGAGCGCAACCCCUAUUGUAAGUUACAAGUGUCUUACGAAACUGCCCGCGUCUAAGCGGGAGGAAGGUGGGGAUGACGUCAAAUCAGCGUGGCUCUUACGCCUUGGGCGACACACGUGCUACAAUGGGAAGGAACAAAGGGACGCCAAAGCGCAAGCUGGAGCAAAUCCUAUCAAAACUUCCCCCAGUUCGGAUCGAGGGCUGCAACUCGCCCUCGUGAAGCCGGAAUCGCUAGUAACCGUAGAUCAGCCUCGCUACGGUGAAUACGUUCUCAGGUUUUGCACACACCGCCCGU
This 486-nucleotide ribosomal RNA is filed under the name uncultured bacterium. Its description in RNAcentral is "partial 16S ribosomal RNA". It matches the Rfam family "Bacterial small subunit ribosomal RNA", at positions 899 to 1397 of the family's 1533-position model. The record is from RNAcentral.